RNAcentral lists this small RNA (112 nucleotides) under Shigella sonnei. Its description in RNAcentral is "partial RtT sRNA". It matches the Rfam family "RtT RNA", at positions 1 to 108 of the family's 130-position model. Rfam says of the family: This family represents a bacterial cis-regulatory element known as RtT RNA. The exact function of RtT is unknown although it is thought that it may be involved in changing the cellular response in relation to amino acid starvation. Lineage: Bacteria; Pseudomonadati; Pseudomonadota; Gammaproteobacteria; Enterobacterales; Enterobacteriaceae. The record is from RNAcentral.
UGCAUUUGUAGCUCAUGAGGAUGAGAACCUCCGGGGGCAGGGAGGUUCGACUCGAGCGAAGCGAGAGAACGUUGCGCCAGCAACGGCCCGCAGGGCGAGCCACGAAGUGGCG